Molecule: ribosomal RNA, 792 nt
Filed under: uncultured prokaryote
Description: bacterial SSU rRNA
Rfam family: Bacterial small subunit ribosomal RNA
Source: RNAcentral
GAUGAACGCUAGCGACAGGCCUAACACAUGCAAGUCGAGGGGUAGCACAGGAUAGCUUGCUAUUUGGGUGACGACCGGCGCACGGGUGAGUAACGCGUAUGCAACCUGCCUAUAAGAGGGGGAUAGCCUUUCGAAAGAAAGAUUAAUACCGCAUAAUACUAUUUACCUGCAUGGGUAAAUAGUUAAACUAUUUGGCUUAUAGAUGGGCAUGCGUUCCAUUAGAUAGUUGGUGAGGUAACGGCUCACCAAGUCAGCGAUGGAUAGGGGUUCUGAGAGGAAGGUCCCCCACACUGGUACUGAGACACGGACCAGACUCCUACGGGAGGCAGCAGUGAGGAAUAUUAGUCAAUGGGCGAGAGCCUGAACCAGCCAAGUCGCGUGAAGGAUGAAGGUCUUAUGGAUUGUAAACUUCUUUUAUAAGGGAAUAAAAAAGACCACGUGUGGUUUAUUGCAUGUACCUUAUGAAUAAGCAUCGGCUAACUCCGUGCCAGCAGCCGCGGUAAUACGGAGGAUGCGAGCGUUAUCCGGAUUUAUUGGGUUUAAAGGGUGCGUAGGCGGUUUAUUAAGUCAGUGGUGAAAGUUUUCGGCUCAACCGGAAAAUUGCCAUUGAAACUGAUAGACUUGAGUGUAAACGAGGUAGGCGGAAUUCGUGGUGUAGCGGUGAAAUGCUUAGAUAUCACGAAGAACUCCAAUUGCGAAGGCAGCUUACUAGGCUACAACUGACGCUGAAGCACGAAAGCGUGGGGAUCAAACAGGAUUAGAUACCCUGGUAGUCCACGCAGUAAACGAUGA